AGAGUUUGAUCCUGGCUCAGAUUGAACGCUGGCGGCACGCCUUACACAUGCAAGUCGAACGGUAACGCGGGGCAACCUGGCGACGAGUGGCGAACGGGUGAGUAAUGCAUCGGAACGUGCCCAGUAGUGGGGGAUAGCCCGGCGAAAGCCGGAUUAAUACCGCAUACGACCUAAGGGUGAAAGCGGGGGAUCGCAAGACCUCGCGCUAUUGGAGCGGCCGAUGUCAGAUUAGGUUGUUGGUGGGGUAAAAGCCUACCAAGCCGACGAUCUGUAGCUGGUCUGAGAGGACGACCAGCCACACUGGGACUGAGACACGGCCCAGACUCCUACGGGAGGCAGCAGUGGGGAAUAUUGCGCAAUGGGGGAAACCCUGACGCAGCAACGCCGCGUGUGUGAAGAAGGCCUUCGGGUCGUAAAGCACUGUUGGGAGGAACGAGCCGCUCAAGUAACCCUUGAGCCCGACGGUACCUCCUGAGGAAGCACCGGCUAACUCCGUGCCAGCAGCCGCGGUAA
RNAcentral lists this ribosomal RNA (513 nucleotides) under uncultured bacterium. RNAcentral describes it as "bacterial SSU rRNA". It matches the Rfam family "Bacterial small subunit ribosomal RNA", at positions 8 to 523 of the family's 1533-position model. The record is from RNAcentral.